Molecule: RNA transcript, 1215 nt
Organism: Panicum hallii
Lineage: Eukaryota; Viridiplantae; Streptophyta; Magnoliopsida; Poales; Poaceae
Gene name: recQ-mediated genome instability protein 2
Exons: 4
Source: RefSeq, a predicted model, not a curated record
UAAUAAUACCAGCGCCCAGCGCGUUCGAAACUGCUUGCACGACCCCAACCUCUCUGCGGCGGCGCGGCCUGCUCCCUCCGGUCGCCAUGGACUACACGCUCGCGGCGCUGAAGAUCUUCGGCUCCCAGCUCGCCGGCUCCACCGAGGCGCCGUCCUCGGAGGGCUCCUCCCCCGCGCAGAUGCUAUUUGGCAUCCGCUUCCAGCGCGCCUGGAUGCAGGGUGUGCUCCUGUCGGCGAACUACAACGAAGCCGGCGAAGGGCGUCUUGUGCUGGAUGAUGGCUCCUGCGUCGCCGACCUCUUCGUCUUGCCCAAAGAAGCCGAGGGCCGGCUGUGGCAGCCAGGGAUGUAUGUAAUGGUUAUUGGGGCAUACAUUGCAGAACAAUCUAAAGACAAUUAUCCAGCUAUCAAGGUGUCAUCUCCCUCCCUCGAUAUCUCAUCUCUAUCCCUGUCUUCUUGCAUGCCUUGUUCCAUAUUUACCGAGAAUUGGAGGUAUCCUGUUUGUGACUUGACUUCUAUAUUGUUUAAUGUGAUUGCAUAUUCCAUUUUGAAUGAUUCAAAAAGUUCAAUUCAGCAAACAUAAGGGUGCGAAGUGGUUACCCUAAGGUCACAACUGACCUGUUUAGUUUAAUUAAUUGAACAUUAUUUUCCACCCUAAGCAAAAACCUGCCUGGUCAAACCUUGCUGGUUCUUCCUUGAAUAAGAGGAAAUUGAAAAGAAAAGCCAUAUGUAAUUUUCUCCUCUUAGGUUAAGACUUAAGCCUAUCGCUCAAUAUGCUAAGACAUACCAGUGCUGAAGUACUAAAAGUUUAUUGGUUUCAGUGGUGGGAGCUGUUUAGCAUCUAACUUGGACAAUGUUCAGGGUGCUGUCCGUUUUCCUUUCAUAAAUUUUCAUAUAGCAUGCAUGUCACUCCUAAAUUUUAAAGAUAUUUGGUUAAGCAGGUUUAGAAGAAUUUCCUUCAAUCAUUUCUGGGAAAAAGGAGAAAUGAUAAUACCUGUGGACAUUACAUCAUUUUAUUCUGUUUUGACAUGUGAUGUUUCAGAUGCUUAUUUAGAUCCACUAAUGAAGUGCUCUGGUGCAUAAGAUGGUCGACCUCUCUGACCAGACGGACCGAGAAGCAAUGUGGUACAUGGAAGUAGCUGAGGCGUACAACUUAUUCUACUUGCCAUUCUCGGUUGCUUGUCCUCCUUCAUGAGCACUGGCCCUUUGAUCUCCAG